Drosophila subobscura is the source of this 994-nucleotide long non-coding RNA. RefSeq lists it as uncharacterized. The transcript is spliced from 3 exons. The record is from RefSeq and is a predicted model, not a curated record. NCBI's taxonomy places the organism in Eukaryota, Metazoa, Arthropoda, Insecta, Diptera, Drosophilidae.
CCUUGGCCCGUCGUCAGUCGCGAUUGGAGCGGCGUACCGUUAUCUGAAAGCGGCUGAAGGUAAGCCAAUGAGCCACGGAAACACCCACAAAACAGGACGAGCAGGAGCGCGAGAAUUGUGGCCAGCAGCAGAUUGUGCUAAUUUCUGGGUGGAGCAGAGUUUUUGGCGCGCAGCUUAUAAUCCGAAUGUCGUCUAAGUGAAUGUGAAAUGUGACAGGCCACAGUGACAGUUGACAAAAGCCAAGCGACAACAACAAGGAAAACCAAACGAUGAAAACGAGGAAAACACAAAGACAGUUGGGAAAAGAGCAGAUGGAAACAAGUUGCUGUUGAUGCUGUUCUUGGUCUUGGUACCAACUACGAUUCGAGUCGAGUCCCGUGCUGUGCUGUGCUGUGUGGGUGCCCCCAGGAGAGAUUUAACAUAAUAAAAACGAACGUGUGCGGCAUUUUUGUGCUGCUUUAACAGUAUCUCGCCAACAGUGUAUCUCCAUCUGUGUGCUAAUAACACACAGACACACACACACACACCGAGAGACAAACAAACAAUAUGUGUGCAAAUGUGUGCGUGAAGCAGUUGGGAAAAGUGUCGUAAAUCGUUUAGACAGCGAAACGUGGGACCAUCCAAAAAACAGAAAAGGAAAAGAAAGGAAAAUGGCAGAGGAAACGAUAUGUAAACGACACAGUCGCCGUGGGAAAAACUCAUCCAAAAACAAGAACCAGAAAAGAAAAACAAGGAGAAACUCCAUUGCAGUUGUUGCUCAUAUGUGACACUCUGGACGAAAUAGUUGUUGCAGAAAACGAAAUUGCGCAGACUGUUUGAAGGAUGGUAUUUCUUGUGAAAUUUUGAAGGAUGCUGUGUGACAUUUUUUCAUGAAUAGUUUUCCACCCCUCCACAAAACGAUGAAACGAUGACACAUCCAAUGAUGUGUGGCCUAUCAAAAAAUUGUGAUGAUAAAUAUAAAAUACUGCCGUCAAUAAACCAUUUUUUGUAGAAA